RNAcentral lists this ribosomal RNA (266 nucleotides) under uncultured bacterium. Its description in RNAcentral is "partial 16S ribosomal RNA". It matches the Rfam family "Bacterial small subunit ribosomal RNA", at positions 524 to 788 of the family's 1533-position model. The record is from RNAcentral.
GACGGAGGGUGCAAGCGUUAUCCGGAAUCACUGGGCGUAAAGCGUAUGUAGGCGGUUUGGUAAGUCGGGGGUUAAAUUUUCAUGCUCAACGUGAAAACUGUUUCCGAAACUGCCAAGCUACGAAGAGUGCAGAGGCAAGCGGAAUUCUGAGUGUAGGGGUAAAAUCCGUAGAUACUCGGAGGAACGCCAAAAGCGAAAGCAGCUUGCUGGGCAUUUCUUGACGCUGAGAUACGAAAGCGUGGGGAGCAAACAGGAUUAGAAACCCC